Molecule: ribosomal RNA, 456 nt
Filed under: uncultured soil bacterium
Lineage: Bacteria
Description: bacterial SSU rRNA
Rfam family: Bacterial small subunit ribosomal RNA
Source: RNAcentral
AGAGUGAACGCUGGCGGUAGGCCUAACACAUGCAAGUCGAACGGCAGCACAGUAGGAGCUUGCUCUUACGGGUGGCGAGUGGCGGACGGGUGAGGAAUACAUCGGAAUCUACCUUUUGGUGGGGGAUAACGUAGGGAAACUUACGCUAAUACCGCAUACGCCCUUCGGGGGAAAGCCGGGGACCAGCAAUGGCCUGGCGCUGAUAGAUGAGCCGAUGUCGGAUUAGCUAGUUGGUGAGGUAAUGGCUCACCAAGGCGACGAUCCGUAGCUGGUCUGAGAGGAUGAUCAGCCACACUGGAACUGAGACACGGUCCAGACUCCUACGGGAGGCAAGCAGGUGGGAAUAGUGGACAAGUGGGCGCAAGCCUGAUCCAGCCAUACCGCGUGGAGAAGAGGCCUUGGGUAUAACGCCCUUUGCGUAGGAAAGAAAGCUAGUUACGUUAACGUACCGGUGUU